AGUGAACGCUGGCGGUAGGCCUAACACAUGCAAGUCGAACGGCAGCACAGUAAGAGCUUGCUCUUACGGGUGGCGAGUGGCGGACGGGUGAGGAAUACAUCGGAAUCUACUUUUUCGUGGGGGAUAACGUAGGGAAACUUACGCUAAUACCGCAUACGACCUACGGGUGAAAGCAGGGGAUCUUCGGACCUUGCGCGAUUGAAUGAGCCGAUGUCGGAUUAGCUAGUUGGCGGGGUAAAGGCCCACCAAGGCGACGAUCCGUAGCUGGUCUGAGAGGAUGAUCAGCCGCACUGGAACUGAGACACGGUCCAGACUCCUACGGGAGGCAGCAGUGGGGAAUAUUGGACAAUGGUCGCAAGCCUGAUCCAGCCAUACCGCGUGGGUGAAGAAGGCCUUCGGGUUGUAAAGCCCUUUUGUUGGGAAAGAAAAGCAGCAGGUUAAUACCCCGCUGUUCUGACGGUACCCAAAGAAUAAGCACCGGCUAACUUCGUG
RNAcentral lists this ribosomal RNA (492 nucleotides) under uncultured bacterium. Its description in RNAcentral is "partial 16S ribosomal RNA". It matches the Rfam family "Bacterial small subunit ribosomal RNA", at positions 29 to 507 of the family's 1533-position model. The record is from RNAcentral.